GUAGGGAACCCGGGUGAAAGCCUGGGGUGCCCCGCGAGGGGAGCCCUAGCACAGGUGCUGCAUGGCCGUCGUCAGCUCGUGCCGUGAGGUGUUGGGUUAAGUCCCGCAACGAGCGCAACCCCCGCCGUUAGUUGCCAGCGGUUCGGCCGGGCACUCUAACGGGACUGCCCGCGAAAGCGGGAGGAAGGAGGGGACGACGUCUGGUCAGCAUGGCCCUUACGGCCUGGGCGACACACGUGCUACAAUGCCCACUACAAAGCGAGGCCACCCGGCAACGGGGAGCUAAUCGCAAAAAGGUGGGCCCAGUUCGGAUUGGGGUCUGCAACCCGACCCCAUGAAGCCGGAAUCGCUAGUAAUCGCGGAUCAGCCAUGCCGCGGUGAAUACGUUCCCGGGCCUU
RNAcentral lists this ribosomal RNA (398 nucleotides) under uncultured Thermus sp. RNAcentral's name for it is "bacterial SSU rRNA". It matches the Rfam family "Bacterial small subunit ribosomal RNA", at positions 988 to 1382 of the family's 1533-position model. The record is from RNAcentral. Lineage: Bacteria; Thermotogati; Deinococcota; Deinococci; Thermales; Thermaceae.